This 639-nucleotide ribosomal RNA is filed under the name Fomitopsis tropica. Its description in RNAcentral is "eukaryotic LSU rRNA". The stretch from base 210 to 363 matches the Rfam family "5.8S ribosomal RNA". The record is from RNAcentral. Lineage: Eukaryota; Fungi; Basidiomycota; Agaricomycetes; Polyporales; Fomitopsidaceae.
UGUGACUGCGGAGGUCAUUAAUGAAUUUUGAAGGGGUUGUAGCUGGCCUUUCAGGAGGCAUAUAUUGUGCACGCCCUGAUCAUUAUCCACCAUCAUACACCUGUGCACACACUGUAGGUUGGCUCGAGCCUCUGUUGCUCUUGCUGGUCUAUGUCCUUUUAAUAACACAUGUUGAGAGAAUGUUCAUUGCGUGUAACGCAUUUAUAUACAACUUUCAGCAACGGAUCUCUUGGCUCUCGCAUCGAUGAAGAACGCAGCGAAAUGCGAUAAGUAAUGUGAAUUGCAGAAUUCAGUGAAUCAUCGAAUCUUUGAACGCACCUUGCGCUCCUUGGUAUUCCGAGGAGCAUGCCUGUUUGAGUGUCAUUUAAAUCUCAACUCUGUUUGCUUUUUGUGAACAGAGCUUGGACUUGGGGGAUUUUAUUGCUGGAACCCUUUGUGUGUUUCGGCUCCUCUUAAAUGCAUCAGCUUGGGCUCUUUGUGGGGAGUCAGCUUUUGGUGUGAUAAUUGUCUACGCCUGGCUGAUGAAGCGCAUAGUAGUGAGCUCUUAGCUUCCAAUGGUCCUGUGGACACACUUUGACCUUUGACCUCAAAUCAGGUAGGAUUACCCGCUGAACUUAAGCAUAUCAAUAAGCGGAGGAA